Rhineura floridana is the source of this 1520-nucleotide long non-coding RNA. RefSeq lists it as uncharacterized. The transcript has 4 exons. The record is from RefSeq and is a predicted model, not a curated record. Lineage: Eukaryota; Metazoa; Chordata; Lepidosauria; Squamata; Rhineuridae.
UGUUGAUCCAGGCAUGCCUAGGCUGGACGUCAGAAAAUGGUGGCUUUAAGUUUUUUGCAGUUUGAAGAUCGGAAACAUCUUGCGAUCCUGUGCUGACAUACUGCGGGAAUCCAAAUGAAAGCUGAUCUCCAUCUUAUUAUGUGGGUCCAUAUUGUGCAAUCACCCACCCUCACCACCCCAGGAAAAGUGUUUCUUGAGGAUACAACUUUAGCUCCAGUAAUGAUUUAUUUGGAUCCAGCUGGGUCACCUGUGAAGAUAAAAUAGAACAGGAAAACUUGAAAAAACAAAUACAGGAAAAUCACAAUUAUUAACAAGGGCAUCUGAAUACCACAGUCACCUGAAUCCAAAGAAGCCGGAUUGUGAAACCUAUGUCUGUACACAUAAUGUCUGUACACAUACCAGCUGUGUCACUAGAGCAAAACAUUGCAGGGAAGAGAUCAUAUUUGUAAUGUAAGCUGUGUUUGUGGACUUUGCCUGCACUGCCUAAGAUGCAACCGGUAAUGUCAGUCUGAGAAUGAUCACCUGCUAGGCAGGGAGGUAGAAGUGAGGACUUGACUUCCAUGUCCUCUCAUCCCCCUAAAUGGCAAUCAGUGUUGAUACUGCUGAUCAUAUUUUUAGUGGAGUGUGUAUAUGCGAUGUGAACACUAUAGCAGGUACACAGCUUUCUGCUACCUUCAUGGUUGUAUGCAUUGCUACCUUAGAGUACAGAAUGGAUUUUAAGUUCAGUAAAACACAAGAUAUUUUGGCAUAUUUGAAAACAACCAUAUACAGUUCUAAGAUACUUGAGAUUUUUUUAAAAAUAGAAAAAAUGGUCAGAGAUUAUGGUUAAAAGGAAACAACAGUAUUUGAUGCACAUAAUCAUGAUAGCAUCAUUUCAGUCUCAAAUAGUCUUGGAUAAAUAUAGCAACUUCGUAUAACAAAUUAAUUUUCAUGUUUGUGGACAUGCCGUCAAGAAAAUCAAGUAUUGUGACACCUUCAGACCAGACAGGGUUUUUUAAAAUUAACUUUAUCUGUAUGUUUCUAACUGUUCUUCAACAUCAGUUUUCAGUGUGAUUCACAGAUAAAAUGGGAGGAAACCCAUAAUACAAAUUAGCAACACAAAAGGCAAAUAAUAUUGUGGUAUGAGCUUUUAUAGGCAGUUUAUUUAUCAUAUGCCCAAAUGCAUAGUUACUUCAUGUGUAUCCACUAUAUACUUAAUGUCAUUUGGUGUUCCUUAAGGAAACAAAUCUUUUAAAUCCUGAACCUAGUAUAAAAUGUAGCUGAAAUUCAAUUAGUGUUGCUCCACUGAUGGAGGGCAUCUGUCAGUGGAUGAAGGGAAUUUUCUGUGGGUUGGGGGAUCCUCUGAAGCAGAUUUUGGAUGGGGCAGUGGGCUUCGGGGGGGAUUACCUAAAAUUCCCAUUCCCUGUUCCACUGAUGUAUGUCUUUUUGUCAGCUGAGUAAUACCAACUAUAUUCCACCUUAUAUGUAAAUAUGUCAUAGCACUAUAACAUCAAUGAUCAAACAUAUUAUAAAAUGUUUUU